AGAAUCAACGCUGGCGGCGUGCCUAACACAUGCAAGUCGCACGAGAAAGGGACUUCGGUCCUGAGUAAAGUGGCGCACGGGUGAGUAACACGUGAAUCAUCUACCUCCGAAUGGGGAAUAACUGAGAGAAAUCUUAGCUAAUACCGCAUAAUACCUACGGGUCAAAGCAGCAAUGCGUUUGGAGAGGAGUUCGCGGUCGAUUAGUUAGUUGGCGGGGUAAUGGCCCACCAAGACGAUGAUCGAUAUCCGGCCUGAGAGGGCGCACGGACACACUGGAACUGAAACACGGUCCAGACUCCUACGGGAGGCAGCAGUGGGGAAUUUUGCGCAAUGGGGGAAACCCUGACGCAGCAACGCCGCGUGGAGGAUGAAAUAUCUUGGUAUGUAAACUCCUUUCGAUGGGGAAGAUAAUGACGGUACCAUAGAAGAAGCCCGGCUAACUUCGUGCCAGCAGCCGC
This 458-nucleotide ribosomal RNA is filed under the name uncultured bacterium. RNAcentral's name for it is "SSU rRNA". It matches the Rfam family "Bacterial small subunit ribosomal RNA", at positions 26 to 518 of the family's 1533-position model. The record is from RNAcentral.